Molecule: ribosomal RNA, 273 nt
Filed under: uncultured bacterium
Lineage: Bacteria
Description: partial 16S ribosomal RNA
Rfam family: Bacterial small subunit ribosomal RNA
Source: RNAcentral
UACGGAGGGGGCUAGCGUUGUUCGGAAUUACUGGGCGUAAAGCGCACGUAGGCGGCUUUGUAAGUUAGAGGUGAAAGCCCAGAGCUCAACUCUGGAACUGCCUUUAAGACUGCAUCGCUUGAAUCAUGGAGAGGUUAGUGGAAUUCCGAGUGUAGAGGUGAAAUUCGUAGAUAUUCGGAAGAACACCAGUGGCGAAGGCGACUAACUGGACAUGUAUUGACGCUGAGGUGCGAAAGCGUGGGGAGCAAACAGGAUUAGAAACCCCAGUAGUCC